UACGUAGGGUGCGAGCGUUGUCCGGAAUUAUUGGGCGUAAAGGGCUCGUAGGCGGUUUGUCGCGUCGGGAGUGAAAACCUUGGGCUUAACUCAGGGCUUGCUUUCGAUACGGGCAGACUAGAGGUAUGCAGGGGAGAACGGAAUUCCUGGUGUAGCGGUGAAAUGCGCAGAUAUCAGGAGGAACACCGGUGGCGAAGGCGGGUCUCUGGGCCAUAACUGACGCUGAGGAGCGAAAGCGUGGGGAGCGAACAGG
Molecule: ribosomal RNA, 253 nt
Filed under: uncultured bacterium
Lineage: Bacteria
Description: partial 16S ribosomal RNA
Rfam family: Bacterial small subunit ribosomal RNA
Source: RNAcentral